This 305-nucleotide ribosomal RNA is filed under the name uncultured bacterium. RNAcentral describes it as "bacterial SSU rRNA". It matches the Rfam family "Bacterial small subunit ribosomal RNA", at positions 337 to 656 of the family's 1533-position model. The record is from RNAcentral.
UCCUACGGGGCGCAGCAGUGGGGAAUAUUGCACAAUGGGGGGAACCCUGAUGCAGCAAUGCCGCGUGAAGGAUGAAGGUUUUCGGAUUGUAAACUUCUUUUGUACGGGACGAAGAAAGUGACGGUACCGUAAGAAUAAGCCAUGGCUAAUUCCGUGCCAGCAGCCGCGGUAAUACGGAAGGUCCGGGCGUUAUCCGGAUUUAUUGGGUUUAAAGGGAGCGUAGGCCGGCUUUUAAGUCAGCUGUGAAAGUCCGCGGCUCAACCGUGGAAUUGCAGUUGAAACUGGAGGCCUUGAGUGCACACAGG